RNAcentral lists this ribosomal RNA (1047 nucleotides) under Epimartyria auricrinella. RNAcentral describes it as "bacterial SSU rRNA". It matches the Rfam family "Eukaryotic small subunit ribosomal RNA", at positions 81 to 1089 of the family's 1831-position model. Lineage: Eukaryota; Metazoa; Arthropoda; Insecta; Lepidoptera; Micropterigidae. The record is from RNAcentral.
GCCAAACCGCGAAUGGCUCAAAACACCAGACUUAGUUCCUUAGAUCUUACACGGUUACUUGGAUAACUGUGGUAAUUCUAGAGCUAAUACAUGCAAUCUGAGCUCUGACUUCGGAAAGAGUGCUUUUAUUAGAUCAAAACCGAUCGGCCGCGGUUCGCCGCGCGCCGUUUCCACCGAUGAAUCUGAAUAACUUUGCGGAUCGCACGGUCUCGCACCGGCGACGUAUCUUUCAAAUGUCUGCCUUAUCAACUUUCGAUGGUAGUUUCUACGACUACCAUGGUUGUCACGGGUAACGGGGGAUUAGGGUUCGAUUCCGGAGAGGGAGCCUGAGACACGGCUACCACAUCCAAGGAAGGCAGCAGGCGCGCAAAUUACCCACUCCGGCACGGGGAGGUAGUGACGAAAAAUAACGGUACGGGACUCUUAUGAGGCCUCGUAAUCGGAAUGAGUACACUUUAAAUAUUUUAACGAGGAACAAUUGGAGGGCAAGUCUGGUGCCAGCAGCCGCGGUAAUUCCAGCUCCAAUAGCAUAUUCUAGAAUUGUUGCGGUUAAAAAGCUCGUAGUUGCAUUUGUGUGCCGCACUGCCGGUCCAUCGUUCACGGCGUGCGACUGGUAGACUUGCGGGGCAUAUCGCCGGUGAGCCUCCGGUAAAACGGGGGCUCAACUGAAAAUCCUGCUGCGUGCUCUUCGCUGAGUGUCGAGAUGGGCCGGCAAUUUACUUUGAACGAAUUAGAGUGCUCAAAGCGGCUAUCGUUUAUUUUUGCAUGGAAUAAUGGAAUACGACCUCGGUUCUAUUUUGUUGGUUUUAGAGACCAGGAUAAUGAUCAAUGGAAGCAACUGGGGGCAUUCGUAUUGCGACGUUAGAGGUGAAAUUCUUGGAUCGUCGCAAGACGGACCACAGCGAAAGCAUUUGCCAAAGGUGUUUUCAUCAAUCAAGAACGAAAGUUAGAGGUUCGAAGGCGAUUAGAUACCGCCCUAGUUCUAACCAUAAAUGAUGCCAGCCAGCGAUCCGCCGACGUUAACUCUAAUGGCUCGGCGGGCAGCUU